This 556-nucleotide ribosomal RNA is filed under the name uncultured bacterium. RNAcentral's name for it is "bacterial SSU rRNA". It matches the Rfam family "Bacterial small subunit ribosomal RNA", at positions 102 to 694 of the family's 1533-position model. The record is from RNAcentral.
ACGGGUGCGUAACGCGUGGGAAUCUACCCUUGGGUUCGGAAUAACAUCGGGAAACUGAUGCUAAUACCGGAUAAUGACGUAAGUCCAAAGAUUUAUCGCCCAGGGAUGAGCCCGCGUAGGAUUAGCUUGUUGGUGAGGUAAAGGCUCACCAAGGCGACGAUCCUAGCUGGUCUGAGAGGAUGAUCAGCCACACUGGGACUGAGACACGGCCCAGACUCCUACGGGAGGCAGCAGUAGGGAAUAUUGGACAAUGGGGGCAACCCUGAUCCAGCAAUGCCGCGUGAGUGAUGAAGGCCUUAGGGUUGUAAAGCUCUUUUACCCGGGAUGAUAAUGACAGUACCGGGAGAAUAAGCCCCGGCUAACUCCGUGCCAGCAGCCGCGGUAAUACGGAGGGGGCUAGCGUUGUUCGGAAUUACUGGGCGUAAAGCGCACGUAGGCGGCGAUUUAAGUCAGAGGUGAAAGCCCGGGGCUCAACCCCGGAACUGCCUUUGAGACUGGAUUGCUUGAAUCACGGAGAGGUGGGUGGAAUUCCGAGUGUAGAGGUGAAAUUCGUAGA